CGCUGGCGGCGUGCCUAAUACAUGCAAGUCGAACGGUCUUUUCUAUGGAAGCUUGCUUCCACUGAAAAGAUAGUGGCGAACGGGUGAGUAACACGUGGGUAACCUGCCCAUAAGAGGGGGGAUAACAUCCGGAAACGGGUGCUAAUACCGCAUAGUUUUCUUGAUCGCAUGAUCGGGAAAGGAAAGACGGCCUUUGUGCUGUCGCUUAUGGAUGGACCCGCGGCGCAUUAGUUAGUUGGUGAGGUAACGGCUCACCAAGACGAUGAUACGUAGCCGACCUGAGAGGGUGAUCGGCCACAUUGGGACUGAGACACGGCCCAAACUCCUACGGGAGGCAGCAGUAGGGAAUCUUCCGCAAUGGACGAAAGUCUGACGGAGCAACGCCGCGUGAGUGAAAGAAGGUUUUCGGAUCGUAAAACUCUGUUGUCAGAGAAGAACAAGUUGGAGAGUAACUGCUCCAGCCUUGACGGUAUCUGACCAGAAAGCCACGGCUAACUACGUGCCAGCCGCCGC
This 513-nucleotide ribosomal RNA is filed under the name uncultured bacterium. RNAcentral describes it as "bacterial SSU rRNA". It matches the Rfam family "Bacterial small subunit ribosomal RNA", at positions 34 to 518 of the family's 1533-position model. The record is from RNAcentral.